AAUGAAUUGUUAUUUUUACUAAGUUAACAAAUGAGUAUUUUAAAUUUCUCAAUUUUAUGUCAAAUAUGAUAAUUAUUGAUAGAUGUAACUAUAUAAAUGAAAACUCUUUGGGGUUCCCAAUAACAUUUAGAGUGUAAAGAGUUCCCAAAAUAAAAAAGCUUGAUGGCUGCUAAUAUGAGACAAAAUAUUAUACUUUGCUCAUCUGUAAUCCAGAAAUCCAAAAUUCAAAGUGCUCCAAAAUCAUAAAUGAGCACCAACAUGCUGUCACAAGUGGACAAUUCCACACUUGACCUAUGUGACAGGUUGCAAUCAAAACAUAGCUACACUUGUAUAAAACUAUUCAGGCUGUGUGUAUAAUGUAUAUGUGAAACAUAAGUUAAUCUGGUGUUUAGACUUGGUUCCAAUCCCUAAGAUACCUCAUUAUAUACAUGUGGAUAUUUCAAACCCAUCCCCCCAAAAAUUAUGUGAACUGAGAGACUGAGACUGAAACAAAUGAAACAUGAAAAUAACUAAACGCCAUGGAACCAAGUGUUGCUCAGUAUGGAAUGGAGUCAAAAUGAAGAAUCCAAUAGGAAGAGAAGGUGGGAGGAGUGGCAAAAUUAAUUGAGAGGAGAGGUGAUAUCUGAAGUAAUUUUCUAUCUUGUUUGUCAUAGGAACAAACUGAUCUGAUGAACUCUAUCAGCUGUGUUUGGGACAGCUCCUAAGGGGUACCGUGCUUGGGCAGGACUUUGAGGGAGAACCCAGUCUGGAGAAAUGGGUGAAGGUCUCAACCCCAACACCAUCACCACCGUCUCAGGCCUAUCAGAUCAGAGCACUUUCAAUAACCUGGAAGUUGUUCAGAAUGUACUUGAUCCAGAGGGACGUGGGAAGCCACAGAAGAAUGUAAAGCAGAGGAAUGACCCUAUCAGAGGUGGCAGCUGUCACACUGGGAUAGGGUGGUGA
Molecule: long non-coding RNA, 942 nt
Filed under: Oryctolagus cuniculus (rabbit)
Lineage: Eukaryota; Metazoa; Chordata; Mammalia; Lagomorpha; Leporidae
Description: lncRNA (ENSOCUG00000029850.1)
Source: RNAcentral